AGAACGAACGCUGGCGGCAUGCCUAAUACAUGCAAGUCGAACGAAGGCUUCGGCCUUAGUGGCGCACGGGUGCGUAACGCGUGGGAAUCUGCCCCUUGGUUCGGAAUAACAGUUGGAAACGACUGCUAAUACCGGAUGAUGACGAAAGUCCAAAGAUUUAUCGCCAAGGGAUGAGCCCGCGUAGGAUUAGCUAGUUGGUGAGGUAAAGGCUCACCAAGGCGACGAUCCUUAGCUGGUCUGAGAGGAUGAUCAGCCACACUGGGACAGAGACACGGCCAGACUCCUACGGGAGCAGCAGUAGGGAAUAUGGACAAGUAGGGCGAAAGCCUGAAUCCAGCAAUGCCGCGUGAGCGAUGGAAGGCCUUAGGGUUGUAAAGCU
RNAcentral lists this ribosomal RNA (379 nucleotides) under uncultured soil bacterium. Its description in RNAcentral is "bacterial SSU rRNA". It matches the Rfam family "Bacterial small subunit ribosomal RNA", at positions 26 to 432 of the family's 1533-position model. The record is from RNAcentral.